UCGGGAAUUUUGGGCAAUGGGCGAAAGCCUGACCCAGCAACGCCGCGUGAAGGAUGAAGUAUUUCGGUAUGUAAACUUCGAAAGAAUAGGAAGAAUAAAUGACGGUACUAUUUAUAAGGUCCGGCUAACUUCGUGCCAGCAGCCGCGGUAAUACGAAGGGGGCUAGCGUUGUUCGGAAUUACUGGGCGUAAAGCGCACGUAGGCGGAUGUGCCAGUCAGGGGUGAAAUCCCGAGGCUCAACCUCGGAACUGCCUCCGAUACAGCACGUCUCGAGUCCGGAAGAGGUGAGUGGAAUUCCUAGUGUAGAGGUGAAAUUCGUAGAUAUUAGGAAGAACACCAGUGGCGAAGGCGGCUCACUGGUCCGGUACUGACGCUGAGGUGCGAAAGCGUGGGGAGCAAACAGGAUUAGAUACCCACGUAGUCCCUGAGCGGGCUGGCAAGGCGCAU
Molecule: ribosomal RNA, 447 nt
Filed under: uncultured bacterium
Lineage: Bacteria
Description: bacterial SSU rRNA
Rfam family: Bacterial small subunit ribosomal RNA
Source: RNAcentral